GCCCCGACCUCGAACAGAAUUCAACCCUAAUACAUAACAUCCCCCCGCUUAGCAAAAAUUUGGAUAAUUUUUUUCCACAGGUUGAAUUCAGUUCAAACCAUAAUACUAUGUAAAUAUCAAUUUAUAAAAAAACAAUCUCCAGUACAAUACGACUCCAUAUGCAAAAAUCUUAUUGAAAUACGUUUCAACUCUUUGCUCUACAAUCUCACAUCUUACUCAUAUGCUCUAGUAAAAUUUGAUAACGUUAUG
RNAcentral lists this long non-coding RNA (249 nucleotides) under Mytilus galloprovincialis (Mediterranean mussel). The record is from RNAcentral. Lineage: Eukaryota; Metazoa; Mollusca; Bivalvia; Mytilida; Mytilidae.